GAAAUGCGAUAAGUAAUGCGAAUUGCAGAAUUCCAGUGAGUCAUCGAAUCUUUGAACGCACAUUGCGCCCUUUGGUACUCCGAAGGCAUGCCUGUUCGAGCGUCAUUAUCACCCCUCAAGCCCCCGCGCUUGGUGUUGGACGGCCGGCUGAGCGAUCGACCCCUCCUAAAGACAAUGACGGCGGCCUGUGGUUCCCCCGGUACACUGAGCUUUUCAUCGAGCACGUAUCGGACAAGGGCACCCGGGACCCCGGUCCUCUCCUUUAACUAGGAAACUUCUAAGGUUGACCUCGGAUCAGGUAGGAAUACGCGCUGAACUUAA
This 321-nucleotide ribosomal RNA is filed under the name uncultured fungus. Its description in RNAcentral is "eukaryotic LSU rRNA". The stretch from base 1 to 105 matches the Rfam family "5.8S ribosomal RNA", at positions 50 to 154 of the family's 154-position model. Lineage: Eukaryota; Fungi. The record is from RNAcentral.